This is a long non-coding RNA of Ziziphus jujuba (common jujube), 1066 nucleotides long. RefSeq lists it as uncharacterized. The transcript has 5 exons. Lineage: Eukaryota; Viridiplantae; Streptophyta; Magnoliopsida; Rosales; Rhamnaceae. The record is from RefSeq and is a predicted model, not a curated record.
UGAGAGAAUGGCGAAGCAGCUAUCGAAAAGUUCUUCAGGAGGAGAGACGAGUGGAGGAAGCAUCCUAGGUUCAACAAUUAGCCCAGCCAUGCCCUUCUCGGUUUUGGCCUCGAAGUCCCAUCAUCGACGUCUACCUGAUCGGCGAGCAGAUCUAUAGCAAACUCCUUGGUCCUUCCUCCUCCUCCUCUUCUGGGUAUGCUUCUAAUGGUGUGGUCUUUCCUAGGUUUUUCAAGAAAUCUUCAAAAUGGAAAAAUACAAUUAGAAUCCUAUCAUCGGAACCCUAGCUUGGUUUUGGUCAUAGGGACUUGCCAAAUGGAAGUUUAUUUUGGAAGCCGCAGCAAGAGGAAUCAUCCAUGCCUGCAAAGCCAGGGGAUCAGACCUAUGAGUUCAUUUUGAGGAUUGCUACAUUCACAUCUGCUCCCCAGAGGUUCUAAUCAUUUUUACUGACAAUUUUGAUUACCAACAUCUAUGGUGCCAUUUUGUCAAGGGAUUGCUUGUUGAUGAUUCUUUUGAGGAAGAAGCUGGAUAUUUUCAGUUUGCUACGACAAUAACAUCGAAUGAUAUUGAUGAAAUAUAGAAGUUUCUUAAUGCUGCUGUUGAUGCAAGAGAAGCUCUUGGUGUAGCAAAAGUUGUAGCUGCAAUGAUUGGUUUAUCUAUAAUCCUUUUGUUAGGAGUCCUUGACUAGGAUGAUUGCUUAAAUGAGAUAUUAGCAUGAGAUACCUUGGCUUGGUUUGUUGUUCUAGAGUGGGCAUGGCCAGGCAACUGACAAAUCUUGGUAAUGUAACCAUGAUGUCUAGCUGUGUUGCCAAGUUACUUCAAUCCUUCUCUCUGAGCUGGCUAGCUGCAUUUGGUGUUCUUCAGGCAGCUUAUUUCUUUAUCCACUACCUGUUUGCAAGUCAUUUUUGAUCUCGAGAUUAGUUCACAAACAAUUUGUAAUUUUUUCUAUUUGCAUACUACAUCUAUCUUGUAUGAUAUAAAAUUAUAUUCAAAAUUUGUUAAUGUUUCCAAGGUGUUUUUGUCAUGCUUCUCUUAAUUUGGAAUCAAUGAGUAUGUCAUCAUUAAAUAU